AACGAACGCUGGCGGCAUGCCUAACACAUGCAAGUCGAACGAAGGCUUCGGCCUUAGUGGCGCACGGGUGCGUAACGCGUGGGAAUCUGCCCUUGGGUUCGGAAUAACGUCGGGAAACUGACGCUAAUACCGGAUGAUGACGUAAGUCCAAAGAUUUAUCGCCCAAGGAUGAGCCCGCGUCGGAUUAGCUAGUUGGUGAGGUAAAAGCCCACCAAGGCGACGAUCCGUAGCUGGUCUGAGAGGAUGAUCAGCCACACUGGGACUGAGACACGGCCCAGACUCCUACGGGAGGCAGCAGUGGGGAAUAUUGGACAAUGGGCGAAAGCCUGAUCCAGCAAUGCCGCGUGAGUGAUGAAGGCCUUAGGGUUGUAAAGCUCUUUUACCCGGGAUGAUAAUGACCGUACCGGGAGAAUAAGCUCCGGCUAACUCCGUG
RNAcentral lists this ribosomal RNA (433 nucleotides) under uncultured bacterium. RNAcentral describes it as "partial 16S ribosomal RNA". It matches the Rfam family "Bacterial small subunit ribosomal RNA", at positions 29 to 507 of the family's 1533-position model. The record is from RNAcentral.